GCCAGGCGCGAUGGCUCACGCCUGUCAUCCCAGCACUUUGGGAGGCUGAGAUGGGUGGAUCACCUGAGGUCAGGAGUUCAAGACCAGCCUGGCCAACAUGGUGAAACCCCAUCUCUA
RNAcentral lists this non-coding RNA (117 nucleotides) under Chlorocebus sabaeus (green monkey). The record is from Rfam by way of RNAcentral. Lineage: Eukaryota; Metazoa; Chordata; Mammalia; Primates; Cercopithecidae.